CCUACGGGUGGCAGCAGUCGAGAAUCAUUCACAAUGGGGGAAACCCUGAUGGGGCGACGCCGCGUGGGGGAAUGAAGGUCUUCGGAUUGUAAACCCCUGUCAUGUGGGAGCAAAUUAAAAAGAUAGUACCACAAGAGGAAGAGACGGCUAACUCUGUGCCAGCAGCCGCGGUAAUACAGAGGUCUCAAGCGUUGUUCGGAAUCACUGGGCGUAAAGCGUGCGUAGGCUGUUUCGUAAGUCGUGUGUGAAAGGGGCGGGCUCAACCCGCGGACGGCACAUGAUACUGCGAGACUAGAGUAAUGGAGGGGGAACCGGAAUUCUCGGUGUAGCAGUGAAAUGCGUAGAUAUCGAUAGGAACACUCGUGGCGAAGGCGGGUUCCUGGACAUUAACUGACGCUGAGGCACGAAGGCCAGGGGAGCGAAAGGGAUUAGAUACCCCGGUAGUC
RNAcentral lists this ribosomal RNA (446 nucleotides) under uncultured bacterium. RNAcentral's name for it is "partial 16S ribosomal RNA". It matches the Rfam family "Bacterial small subunit ribosomal RNA", at positions 338 to 795 of the family's 1533-position model. The record is from RNAcentral.